RNAcentral lists this ribosomal RNA (490 nucleotides) under Starmerella bacillaris. RNAcentral describes it as "partial large subunit ribosomal RNA". It matches the Rfam family "Eukaryotic large subunit ribosomal RNA", at positions 73 to 670 of the family's 3401-position model. The record is from RNAcentral. Lineage: Eukaryota; Fungi; Ascomycota; Dipodascomycetes; Dipodascales; Trichomonascaceae.
GGUGCCAGUACGGCGAGUGAACAGGCAAGAGCUCAGAUUUGAAAGGCACUUUUGUGCCGUUGUAUUCUGAAGUUAGGGUCCUGAGAAACGAUGCUUAAGUCUUCUGGAAAGGAGCGCCAUGGAGGGUGAUAGCCCCGUCUAGCAUUGACCUCAUAUAGGAUCUUAACAUGGAGUCGAGUUGUUUGGGAAUGCAGCUCAAAUGGGUGGUAUGCUCCAUCUAAAGCUAAAUAUCUGCGAGAGACCGAUAGUAAACAAGUACUGUGAGGGAAAGAUGAAAAGAACUUUGAAAAGAGAGUGAAAAAGUACGUGAAAUUGUUGAAAUGGAAGGGUAGGCCGCUAACCAUGUAGAGCCGUGUUUGGGGGGAAGAUAAAUGCUGUAGAAUGUAGCUCCUCGGAGUAUUAUAGAUGCAGUUCAUAUUCCCACCCGAGCGCGAGGAUCUCAGGUUCUACUAAAUGGUGGUCUACCACCCGUCUUGAACCACGGACCAAA